AUACACAUCUCCCAGCCCACGUGACUCGGCAUAGUCUCGCGAGCGGCGGACGGGUGAGUAAUGUCUGGGAAACUGCCUGAUGGAGGGGGAUAACUACUGGAAACGGUCGCUAAUACCGCAUACCAUCAGAUGUGCCCAGAUGGGAUUAGCUAGUUGGUGGGGUAAUGGCUCACCUAGGCGACGAUCCCUAGCUGGUCUGAGAGGAUGACCAGCAACACGGGAACUGAGACACGGUCACGACUCCUAAGGGAGGCAGCAGUGGGGAAUAUUGCACAAGGGGCGAAAGCCUGAUGCAGCCAUGCGGCGUGUGUGAAGAAGGCCUUCUGGUUGUAAAGCACGUUAAGCGGGGAGGAGUUACUCGCAGAAGAAGCACCGGCUAACUCCGUGCCAGCAGCCGCGGUAAUUC
Molecule: ribosomal RNA, 406 nt
Filed under: uncultured bacterium
Lineage: Bacteria
Description: partial 16S ribosomal RNA
Rfam family: Bacterial small subunit ribosomal RNA
Source: RNAcentral